This 320-nucleotide small nuclear RNA is filed under the name Peromyscus maniculatus bairdii (prairie deer mouse). Its description in RNAcentral is "7SK RNA (ENSPEMG00000004225.2)". It matches the Rfam family "7SK RNA". Rfam says of the family: 7SK was discovered as an abundant small nuclear RNA in the mid-70s but a possible function has only recently been suggested. Two independent studies have found that 7SK RNA binds the CDK9/cyclin T complex (known as elongation factor P-TEFb). The record is from RNAcentral. Lineage: Eukaryota; Metazoa; Chordata; Mammalia; Rodentia; Cricetidae.
UUAUUUGAGGGCAAUCUGGCUGCGACAUCUGUCAGCCCAUUGAUUGCCAGGGUUGAUUCGGCUGAUCUGGCUGGCUAGGCAGGUGUCCCCUUCCUCUCUGACUGCUCCAUAUGCAUCCCUCCCAAAUCCCAGUCAAAGAGGAUGACCUUCCCCAAAUAGAGGGGGACUGGCCUUUGAUCAGGGGCAUAGGAGUAGCUGUACUCCCCUACUAGAACCUCCAAACAAUCUCUAAAGGGUAACAUUGUUUAUAGCCUUGAUUCCACAGCAUUUACUGUUUUGCCAAGUGCCACAAGGGUAAGGGUACCUGCUUGCUUCCUUCU